Etheostoma spectabile (orangethroat darter) is the source of this 1687-nucleotide RNA transcript. It is a transcript of the gene named RNA-binding region (RNP1, RRM) containing 3, with no coding region annotated. The record is from RefSeq and is a predicted model, not a curated record. The transcript is spliced from 16 exons. NCBI's taxonomy places the organism in Eukaryota, Metazoa, Chordata, Actinopteri, Perciformes, Percidae.
AGAAGAAGAGCCAAGCGGGAGUGUUUUGUGCAUGAAGCUGGCUGCAGCCCAGGCAGGGAAAUGGACAAGAAUGAGGAACUGGUCCAAACAAACGGCAGUAAGACACUGCUUAUCCGCCAUUUACCGGCUGAACUCAGCCAGGAUGAGAAAAAGGACCUCUUAAAGUAUUUCGGAGCAGAAACGGUCAGGGUCUUCUCAAACACGGGUCGUUUGAAACAUGCAGCCUUUGCAUCCUUUAGAAGUGAAAAGUCGGCAGCAAAGGCUCUCAGCAGACUCCAUCAGUUAGAGAUUCUCGAUCAUACACUCGUUGUGGAGUUUGCAAAGGGACAAGAUCAUGUCACAGUAUUGAAGGAUCCACCAGUGUCAUACAGUGGUAAACAGGGCAGGGAAGAGCAGAAGAAACCGGAAACCAAGCAACCACACAUUCCCCUUAUAGAGACCGGCAUUGCACCUAGCCUUGGGUUGAAUUUUCCAUUGAAUCCCACUUUGAAAUAUUUAUACCCCCCACCUUCUAAUAGCAUUCUGACAAAUAUAACACAUGUCCUCAUCAGUGUGCCAAAGUUUUAUGUUCAAGUACUACAUCUGAUGAACAAGAUGAAUUUACCAUGUCCUUUUGGCCCAGUCACUACCAGACCCCCCAUGUUUGACGUGUUGCCUCCUGCGCCUCCCUUCCCCAUGCCUCCUCCCUUUCCUCCUGAUUAUCCCCCGCUACCAGAGGAGGAGAUGGAGCUGUCCAGUGGACAAGAGUCGGAGUAUGAGAGUGGGGAAGACGAAGACAAGGAGAGGAUUGCUCGUCUGAUGGGCCUGGUCAACCAAGCAUGCAAGAGACCCUUGAGACCAAAAACAGCUUCAAAGAGAAAGAAGCCCAAGAUCAAGGAUCUACUCUAUGCUCCCAAACCUGACUCUCAGAGUGCUCCAGUGCUGCAGCCCUCCGACGUGUUUGAGCAGCCCCACCCCGCUGGGCAGAAGAAAAUUGAAUUCCACAUUUUGGUUCCAGAGGUGGCAGCCUUAGUGGAAGGAAGUGUGCCAAGUCAACCUGAUGAUGAAGGCAGAGAAGUGGUUGAGAGGGAGCUCAGCCCCAGCAGCAGUCGGGAAGUGGCAGAGGCCGAGGGUUUUGGGAAGCUUUACCCGAGCGCCCAGCCGUCCCAACAGCAAGAGGAGCACAGCGACGAGGAGCAGGAUCUCCCCUCAGACGUCAUCUCCAGAAAGGAGCUGGAGAAAGGACGCCUGUCAAGAGAUGAGAUAAAAAGGAUGUCUGUGUUUAAAAAUUAUGAACCGGGUGAGCCAACCUGCCGACUGUACGUGAAGAAUAUUGCAAAGCAAGUGGAAGAGAAAGUAGGACUUGAAGUACAUCUAUGGGAGAUACGUCAACCCCUUGUCAGAAGCCGAGAGAAACAUGUUUGACAUUGUGUUAAUGAAGGAGGGGCGGAUGAAAGGGCAGGCCUUCGUAGGACUCCCCAGUGAGCAUAGUGCAGAGAAAGCCCUGCGGGAAACCAACGGCUACGUUCUCUAUGACAAACCCCUCGUCGUCCAAUUUGCUAGAUCUGCCAGGCCAAAAGAAGACACCACAGUAACCAAGAGAGGACCAAAACAACGGUGAACUCAACAGAUGCCAAGACUUGAUAUUGUGGCCCAGCAGAACCAUUUGUAUCCUUGUUCUGGCAUAUAUCCUUUGCAGAGAAAAAAA